CAUAUCACCGUCACAGUAGAAGGGCCCAAGUAGAAGCGGCGCACUGGAAAAUACGUUAGCCAACAGGAAGAAUCGAAAUAACAAAACAUCAACAGAAAACAGAAAGCGACAACAGCAUAGAACGCCGCCGCUAGCCACACACACACACACACACACACCUCCUAUGUAUCACCAACACCUCUCGUGCGGCACAACGCAACAAAGCACGCACACCCAUUUCUCACGCAACCCGCUUUAGGAGCCGAGUUGCUCCAUACGUACGUGGUUGCGUAUUUCGCUCGUGCCGCGUGACGGGAACCUCUUUAAACUCUCCAUUUCCUUUGGCCCAAGGACACCAACGCUUACACAUUAAGUGCGCAGAGAGAGAGAGACAAAACCACAUACACUCGCACCUACGUUGUGCGUGGCUGUCAAGUGUGCCUCUCGCCCGCCCCGUGCCUCCGUUGCUCUUGGGUGUCUUUGUCUUCGUCGUCUUCUGGAUUUCUGUUUUCUUGCUGUUGUUCUUUCACUCCACGCCCGCCCACUUUUCCCGUGGGUCGACUUGUGCACGCAUUUUUGUUUUCGGGCGGAGACCCGGAGGUCUUUGUGUGUGUGUGUGUGUGCCUGCGGGCGUUUCUGUCUGUGCAGGGUGCGCGUGGGCAUAUACGAUCUGCUGGCCCCCGCCCACCAUACACACCUCUCCCGCUUUCCCUUUAUCAUUUCAAACCCCUCAAAAAGAACAACAAAAAGAGGGCGCUAUCAUUUCUGUCUUCUUGUUCCCUGUUCUCUGGUUUGCACGUGUCGCUUUUUUUUAGCGCGCAUAUGUGCGUGCUGAAUCCCUGUCCCUUUUUGUGUUCUUGCUGUUCUUGUCGACGGUCCCUGGACCGUCUUCUACUUUACGCGCCUCUCCCUCUCCCCCGCGUUUCCGAAACGCUUCCUCCCUUUUUCAGUGUUCGCCCGAUACGAAGGACUUUUUUCUCCUCCGCACUCCUCAUUUCUCUUUCCCUGAGACGUGACUUCCUUUUUUUCCUUGUUGCUUCGCUCAUUGUGCGCGCCUCAUUUUCUUCCUUUCGCGUACCUUCGGCUUCUCUCUCUUGCUUUUCUUCCGUCUUCGCUUCUAUUAUCAUUAUUACUGUUCGUUCUUCUGUUUUUCUGGGGAUUUCCACUCAUUACCCCCUCGCACUCUUCUUUCUUUCGCUACGGCCCUCUCCCCUCUCCCCUAGCCUCACCCAUACGGCCUCUCAAAAGACACACCGUCCUUUCUUCUUCUUCACUAACCGUCCUCUUCAUUUUUUUUUUCGUUAAUCGCUUGCUCUCCUUUUUCACCUUUUGUCCCUCGCAAUUUUCGUCCCUCUGCGAUAUUCUGCUCUGCUGUGCUUUUUUUUUGUUUUCGCGCUGUUUAUAUGCACAUAUAUCUUCCUUUCUUACCCCCACACCCCCUUUCCAAGGCGGUGCAGCCUUGGAGACGUGUGUAGAGAACGAAAACAAAUAACUCUCCUGUCCCUCUCCCCCCUUUCUCUCUGUCUCUGCCUGGUAUUGUCCAUCUCUCUCUCUCUCCCUCUCCCUCUCCCUCUCCCUCUCCCUCUCUACGAAAUCCAGUCCUUUGAUUGAUGCCGGUGUUUGUCAAGAGAAAUAUACUUUCCUCUCGUUCCCCCCCCCUGAGCUCGCCUUGCCGCCGUGAUUUCGUGACCCCUUUGUAUUAUUAUUUCUUUUUAUUGGGAGGCCCUCGCCGCGCCUCUCCCCUCCCCGCUGAAGCUGGCGGUGUGUUGACACUCGUAUCUCGUCGUCCGGUUUUCGCUCUCCCUCCCUUCCCCCUUACGUGCUCCGCAUUACAUUUCGAAGGAGGGAUCGGCGGUGCUCCUGUUGUUCGGCCUUGUGUGUGUGUGUCUUUCGUGUUUGAUUUCUUCCUCUCUUCUUCGACCAGGAACGACUCCCACUCACUAUCCCCACUACCACGCGUCCACCUCACUUCCCCACCCCUCCUUCUUUUCUUUACCUCUGUCCUCGACGCAUCAUCAUCAUCGCCCAGCGUGACGCCGACAGACACCACGCCGCACGCAAAAAAAAAACGCACACGUUACCUCCUUUCUACCCCUCUUUGGCCCACAACCGCGCACACAGCAAGGCCUCGAGCGGUCUUACGCGAGGCAGAGAGUGAAAGAGCCCAGCAAAAAAAAAAGAAACGGCGAUAAAGAGAGGGCGCAGGACAGACAACAAAGGACGCCGAGGAACAAAACACAACUGGCAAGCGCAAAAAAAAAGAAACACGGAAGGAAGAGGGCAAGCAACGGAAAGGGGCAAGGCAACACAGAACCUCGGUAAAGGAAGUAUACAGCCCUUCUUUUUGCUGCUCGUCGGUUUCGUGGUUUGCUUCCAUCUCGUCGCUCCUUUUUUGUCUUCUUUUCGGUUCCGUUUUUCUCUUCUUUCGUGUCUAGCUCCUCUUCUUCGCUCUGCUCCUAUCCUCUACCCUGGCGUCCUUUCUGUCGUGCUGCUGCUGCUGCCCCUCUCGAUCUCCUCUGUGUGUGCGCUUGACGUUAUCCAGGUUGAAGGUGUGCAUAUUUGUGUGUGUUGGGGGGCUUAUGCUGACCUGCUGAUUCUUCCUGUGUCUGCCACCCCCCCCCCGACAUCCACCCACCUGCACCUCUACCUCCACUUCCGUCUUGCAAUUAUUAUUAUUUCUUCGAUUGUGCAACCUGUCCUCUUCGUUUCUCCCACGCGUUCCUCACGUUUCUACGUCUUUGUAUGCGGUGUGUGUAUAUCUUUUUCUCUCUCGUUUCCUCGUGAGCUCCCUCCUACCCUCUUCUACAAGCGCUCGCGUGUGCGUGUCUAUCUUUGGGCGCUUCCCUACGGGAACACGUGACGCACGAGCCCGUGUGCAGUGUUGAGCGUCAGUGCUAUCGUGCGUCCAUCGCCCCUUCCCCCCUCCACUCCCCUCCUCCCCUUCCCCUUCCCCACAGUGUGACGUUGAUCUUUCCACUGCUCCUUUCCGUUGUUGCCUGCUUUUCUGUUUUCCAACCCUGCCUCUGGUGAUUAUACUGCCACUGCUACGACUACCACCACCAUCUACCACGCCCUCCAGUAACGCUCCAGCUCCGUCUCUCGCUCGCUGUAGCGCACGGGUGUUACUUGUUUGUGCGUUUUGGGGUAGCUCAUCAUUCACUUGCAAAGGUGAACAGUGGCUUCUCUCUCGUUCUUCUUCCUUUCUCUUCCCUCUUCCCUCCCCACCUCCUUGACACUCUCAUUUUUUUUUGCGGCCUUUCACCACCUUUGCCCUUGGUUACUGCUAAUUGACAGCUCUUCUAAUAUUGCCCCUCAUUUUUCUCUCUCUCCAUUUGUGUCCGUGUGUGUGUGUGUACCCGCGCGUGUGAGUCUCGGUUGGUGCGCAACGGCUACAUAUUUGCGGCUGCUCCACCGCUCUAACCGCCUCCCCCCUCCCCUGCUACCCCGCAUAACAUCGCCACAAACACUUUUGCAUCUCUUCUUGAUUGCUUCUCUAGGUCUUCUCAACGUUUUUCGUUAACCACGUUAGUGUUCAUCCGCUUGGCUGUGUUUCACCUUGCUUUCUCGUGUGUGUCCUUGGCAGUGCUGGCACGGACUGCUGGUGUCGUUGUGGUGCUGUCUCAUCGUUUUUUUUUUUGAAGCACUGUUGUCGGCUCCCCGGUUCUUGCCAUCCUGCUCUCUCUCCCCUUUUUUCUCUGGCUGUUGAGCAGGUCUGCUGCUCUUCUGUCUUUGUUUUGUGUGUGUGUGUGUGUGUGCCACUGCGAUAACCUCUUGUCAUUGUCUUCCUUUUUGUGGUUUGCAUUCGGAAUCGGUGAAGGGGCACACGUGCGAGGGUGUGGGAGGCCUGUUCCCCCCCCCUUUUUUUUUCUUCAUUCACUAUCCUCCCCUGUGCGUUUCAUGCACUGAUGCUGCCAUCUAGUGCGCCGCCCUGGGGUCCAGGGCCACAUGACCCGGCUCCAUACUCCACGAUCGCCGCGCACAACUGCACCGCCGAGUGCGUCGAUGGUCCCACAUCAGGUAGUGCUACGCACAAUCGGAGCACCUCACCACGCGGACAGCCUGCCGGAGGUGACACGGCAUCUCCAACGCCUGCUUCCGUGGAGGUGCUAGGGCGAAAGACUCAGCAUCGCCGGUGUAGCACUAGCCCACCUCUGAAGCCACUCAUGAAAGAGGCAGUUCUCGCUCGCGCACUCGAGAAACCGCGGUGCACGCUGGCUAGUGCAGCGAUGGAGAGCACCGGCGACCCGCCACAUCCCUCCAAGGACAGCGAUGCUGAGACUUCGGCAUGCAUUCGCGCAACUUGCACAGGGUCCCGAACACGAGUGGAUCAUGCGCCGCCGCUGUCGUUGUCCGCUACCGUUUCCUCUGUGCAGCAGCACCUCGGCAUGAUACCGCAAGUGGCCAGCAGCAACUCCGCCUCUUAUCAGGCGAGCGCCAGCGCGCCAUCAACACCAAGCAAUCGUAAGGAGGCAUCGAAGAUGCAGCGACGCUCCUCUUCGGCCUUCAUGAGUCGACUGCCUUCCGACACCCGCCUGCGAACGUCGCUGUUGGCCGCCUUUGGUGUGCAGCAUGCCGAGACACAUGGGCGCUGUGACGCACCGUCUCAUGCGCCGCUUCCGGUCCGCGGCUCGUUGUCAAUGACGAACUCCACGGACGUGACGCCCGUUGCAUCUGACACCCACUUUCGCAGGAGCGUCAACGAAGGAUGCAGCACCGUCGAGUCUCACUGCACCGCCACCGCCGCUGCGUCGUGCGUUGUCGUGCGUGCGCCUUCUGGCGCAUUUCGCGCGCUGCCUCACCCUAGCAUAUGGCUCAACACCAGUCUCGCAGGUAUCGGCGGAGUGCCGUCAUUCAACUCUUCCACUCCGUCCACCAAUGCGUCUGUUCUGAAGGAUCGCCACAGUAGCGGUACAGGCACGUGCGAGGUGCCGAGUGAGUCGAGCUUGCUGCCACCAUUCCGCACGAGCUCGCUCGACCGCGACGGCGUCGGCGCGGAAGACUGCGGCAGCGAAGCGUCAGGCACGGCGUCCACCUCCGCCACAGUUGAGGUCCUUCACAGCGGGGACGCUAACCCCGUCACCGGAGACCGGUGUAGCCGCCUGCCAAGUGGGAGAAGCAUCAACACCUCUGUCAGUGGUGAAGUCGGCGGUUUCGCACCCGAUGCAAGCGGCACCUCAACAGCCCACCAUACCUGCGCGGAAAGCAACAGCAGCGCCGGCGGCGGCGCUGAACUCCAAGGGGCGGGGUGCUCGUUUGGAUGGCGCAUGUUCUCUUCGCUCACGUCCCAGCGCGGCGGCGGUGGCGGCGGCGCGCCUGCGCCGUCCCUGGGCAUAUUUCAAAGCGGCCUCUAUCUUUCCAUGGACGAAGGCGACGUGUCGCCCGCGCCGGCUCUAGAGGUGCCGAUGACGCCGCAGAGCUUUUCAACGAUGCUGCUGGCGCGGGAGAGCAGCGAGGGGGCGCAGCAUCCCGUUCGCGCCGGCAGCGCCACUUCGGCGACGACGACAAACGGUGCACGAUCCUCCUCUCUUGCUGUGCAGGAGGGCAAUGACACGAUGCUGAGGCAGUCCUCACAACAGGUGCCGAUCGUCUCGCAACUGGCGGAGGAUGCCUGGAGCGGAGGCGGGGUCGCCGCAAACGGGAUUGAGGACUGGUGUGUCGACGGUGGCAGUCGCGAUAGCCGUGAGGCACGUACAACGAGCACGACUCACACCUCCGGGGUUGGAUCGCACCCCUGCCUGGUCCCCGGCAGCGGAAGCGGCAGGUGCGUCAUAGGUGGAUGCUGCGCGACCCCACUCAGUAGCUUUCAACUCCUCGGUGGCAGCAGUAAGCAGGAGAUGCCUACAAGCGCCCUCGACACGGAUGAGAUCCCCUCCACCCCGACGGACAUCAGCGCUUUACCACACCCGCCGCCGCCGCCGCUCUCGGCGCGCCGCCGGCGCCAACGACGGGCUUGUCAGCACUGCGACGGCGGCAACGCCGUCAGCAGCAACUCCCGCGUCGAUUUGGAGACGGGGGUGAUUGAGACGGACACGCUGGAGCGUGCUCGGGCGGUAUCGAAAGACGGCUCGAGGGCGUACGAGAUUGUGAACGGGAAGUACGUCAUGUACGACUACGAGCUUGGCAGAGGGUCCUACGCCACAGUGCGGCUUUGCUACAACUUGGCGGAUGGCCAUUUCUACGCGGUGAAGGUUCUGGAUCGUGUUCGACUGAAGCGUCGCCAGCUCGGCUCAGAGGCCGGCCUGUGCAAGAUCGAUCAAGAGAUCGCGAUGAUGAAGCAGGUGCAGCACAAGAACAUCAUCGCGCUCCACGAGGUUAUUCGUGACCCCAGCAUGCGCUACGUCUACCUUGUGCUGGAGCUGGCGGAGUCCAGGGAGGUGCUGUCGAUGCGGGACAACGGUGACGUGCUACCGCGCGGCGACGACGACGGUGCCGCAACGGCGUACCCUGAGGCUGCUGCGCGUGAAAUGGUGAAGGGGCUACUGCAAGCACUCAUGUACAUCCACUACCUCGGAGUUGCGCACCGCGAUAUCAAGCCCUCUAACGUGCUGCGUACGGCGGACGGUACAGUGAAGCUGUGCGACUUUGGUGUCUCGGUUCUAGUCGGCGACGCGCCGAUGCAACUGAGUCGCGAAGGCAGCGUGGCUUUCUUGGCACCGGAGCUGCUCCUGUCGAGCGAGGUGGAAGUGUCACGAUUUUUGACGCCGGACGACUCAUCUCUGGGCUCAACGCGUAACAAGAGUGCAACGCACAUGCUCGCCGACUCCGCGCUGGCCACCGCCACCAGGAACGCGCGCACGACUGUGACGUCCACCACAACGGCCACUAGUGCAACUGAACUGGCGAGCACCGGCGGGCCGGCUUCGCCCAAGGAGGAGGGCGCCAAGUGGACCCAGCGCCUCAUGUCCUCGUUUGCAGGUGCCGCCUUACAGCCGAACGCGCGCGCGGCAGCGUCACGGGCCCCGGGGCGAGAGAUUGCGAGCCCCGGUGGCGGCGCGCCGAGUGCCAUCCCUCCAUGGCCGUCGUCAGCAUCUCUGCCGAAGCGCGGCGGUGGCGGCGGCGCCGCCCGCAGAGCCUCCUUUCGCACCCUUUCUCUCUCGCCUUGCGGGGCUGCAGCACGCGAGUGUGCUGCGGCGAUCGCGACAGCUGCUGCUAGUCCUUGUGCCGGUGGUGCCGCGGCGGUGACACCACCGACAGGCGCGUAUUCGCCCUCCACCCCUGCAGCGCAGCCGUUCAGUGAUCUGUCGAAAUCCGCUGGCAACGCGCCGGUAGACCUGCUCAAGGCGGACGUGUUUGCGUUAGGUGUGACCGUAUACACGCUGCUCCUCGGCCACCUGCCUUGGCGUGCGUCGAGUGCAGUGUCGCAGCGCGCGGCCAUACUCGCCGAGCCCGAUCCUUUUUUGCGCCUCUACAAGGCAGCUUACGGCGAUGCCUAUGUGGGGCCGCCACAAGUGCGGGAAGCGUGUAUGCCGCGUUGUGACGUGCUCGGCAGCGACGCGAUCCCGGCUUCCUCGCACGCUAGCACGUCGGCGAGCGGCAAGGACGGUCGCGGUGCCAGCUAUGGAACGGCAAACGCCGAGCUAAGUGACGGGCAGUGGGCGAUUGCCGCCGAGAAGGACGAUGUAGUGACGCCGGCGCCAGUGACUGCCCUCCCCUGCAAGUGGCGACACUUGAGCAACACGGGGACGACCCCGGACGAGUGCACAUCGGAGCAGGAGAAGUGCACGCCCACGGCAGCGAAGCUGACUGCCGCGCCUCAGCCUCAUCGCAAUGCCCCCACUCGGAGCGACCGCAACUCGGCCCAGCCCGUCGGUGAACGCAGUACCGCCGCCGCCGCGUUGCCGCGUCCCGCAACUCAGCUCUUGGCGAAGAAAGCGACCACAUCCGAAUCUCGCGCCCCAAAGGACCUCGCCGAGUCGCCAAGCGAUGACCACAACCCGAGGGCGCCUUUCGAAGCACCCCCGCCACCCAUGCCACCGCAGCAAGAGCGGCACCUUCAUCGUUUUCAAUGGAGACCUUUCAUGGAUGUCGUCCUCGGCUCCGCUCCCAUCAAAACAGCCACCGCAGCAGGCACGGCGAUCACGCAGCAAGCUCAGGUGACCGUCAGGCAUCGCCGCGGCGGUGGUGGCGAACUUGUGGACGGGGACUUGCGGCAAACGAACGCCACGACAACAUGCAUACGAUCGCGCGCUCCCGCCGUUAAGAUGCUCCUCUCCAGAGCCGCGACGCAGCCGCGGUUCGGGUCUGUGGUGCAAGUUCCGCACUCGCUUGCGAUCUGUGGAGACGAGCGCGCGACGUGGGAGGCGCAGGGGGCGGCGAUGAGUGGCCCAGCAGUUGCGCCACCGCUUCGACCGCGCGGACCGACGACGACGCCGGAUCAGCUGUAUCCGUAUCGUGGCAUUCUCGACGUCGACGAUGAUGACUGGAUGAAGGCUGAUGAGUCCGACGUGGUACAAGGCAUGAAGGAGAGCGCGAUAAAUGCGGAGCAGUGGGUGCCGGGCUCGUCUAGCGACCUCCUGCGAACUGUCCCGUCUAGCGCCGUCACAGGCACGCGCAGUAACGACAGCGAGGCUGAUAGCGCGUCUGACUGCGACAGCAGCACAACGACUGUACCCUGCAGCGCUGCUAAAUCGACCGCGUCUUCGCUGCCCAGCGACGACGACGAGGACCUGGAGUCGUGCGAGAGCAUCUACGAGCGGCUCUUUGAGAUGGAACAGCCGUGCCGCGCGUACACGGUAGUGGAGCACAUGCCUCUGCCCACAAUGUCAGGCACCUCUCGCGAGAUCAGUGGCGAAGCCGUCGACUUUGUGCGGUCGUGCCUCUGCCUGGAUCCCGCUGAACGUCGCACGGUGUUCGAACUGUUCCGCCAUCCCUGGAUUCGCGGCGGAGAGGGGGCGAUGCUGGCGGAGGCUGGCACCUCCGCGGGGUCUCCAUGAUGUUCGCCGUCUGCGGCCGAGAAAGGCGCCGAUGUGAAAUUAUCGUCCGGCUCUUGAAUGGACGCAGUGAGCACAAAUGACGAAGCAUAAAGUUGCAUGAAAGGCAGCAGAGGACCCCGUUACCGGCAGCCUGGGCUACCUCGGUACGCGGCGGCCGUGAGCGGGUGAUGGGUCACCUUCCGCAAUAUUGAGAAAGUGGCGGCGCCGCUUGUGGAAGACAUCGACCGUGCGCCACGUCGCGUCAGCGGCAUUCAUUAGGCAUGGCACGGUGAUCCGCAGCGUCGACUUGGAGCGGCGCACCCUUGACGACGUCCUAUCUCCAACAACAACCCUUGUCGUUGCUUGCGCUGCGUCGUCGCUGCAG
This 9276-nucleotide unclassified non-coding RNA is filed under the name Leishmania donovani. Its description in RNAcentral is "gene:LdHU3.19.0650(CDS-product:protein_kinase_put ative)". Lineage: Eukaryota; Euglenozoa; Kinetoplastea; Trypanosomatida; Trypanosomatidae. The record is from RNAcentral.